This 304-nucleotide ribosomal RNA is filed under the name uncultured bacterium. Its description in RNAcentral is "partial 16S ribosomal RNA". It matches the Rfam family "Bacterial small subunit ribosomal RNA", at positions 506 to 807 of the family's 1533-position model. The record is from RNAcentral.
CAGCAGUCGCCACGGUAAUACGGAGGGUGCAAGCGUUAAUCGGAAUUACUGGGCGUAAAGCGCACGCAGGCGGUCUGACAAGUCAGAUGUGAAAUCCCCGGGCUUAACCUGGGAACUGCAUUUGAAACUGUCAGGCUGGAGUCUUGUAGAGGGGGGUGGAAUUCCAGGUGUAGCGGUGAAAUGCGUAGAGAUCUGGAGGAAUACCGGUGGCGAAGGCGGCCCCCUGGACAAAGACUGACGCUCAGGUGCGAAAGCGUGGGGAGCAAACAGGAUUAGAUACCCGCGUAGUCCCUGUCUCUUAUAC